This 1947-nucleotide long non-coding RNA is filed under the name Marmota monax (woodchuck). The record is from RNAcentral. Lineage: Eukaryota; Metazoa; Chordata; Mammalia; Rodentia; Sciuridae.
UGGGUGUUUAUGCAGAGGCCACUCUGUUUUUAAGAAGAGCAAAAGGAGUCUCUGAAAAAUGCAUUAACCAGGGAAAAACAUGUUGUUUUCCCUUGGUUUGCCUUCCCCCAGCUCCACCAGCUCCGGAGCAGCCAAAUGGAAUUUUACCAACUCUGAGAGAGUACUGGUGGGCAGGAACAAAGGGAACAAGGACUCAUCCUGAGGGAAGCGGCAGCGUUGCUCCCCAAAAGUUAUAUGCAAGAACAAGUGUCAGCCUGCAGUGGCUGUGCCCAGGACCAAGACACAAAGACAAAGCAGGACCCUGCAGCUACCCAGCUUCUUCCCCGUGCUCAGCCCCCAGGGGCAUCUUCCUCUCUCCAGAACCCCUGUGCUCUCAGCCCUCAUCUCAGAGGCCAUUUCUCACCUGUUUGAGGUCCUUUUUGAUGAUCUCUCUGGGGAAUAAUCACAGCCAGCUCUUGCCUUCCUUCAGUGGUUGAAGUGGUAGAUUCCUGACCCAGGAUCCUCUCCCUUCCAGAACAUUCCAUCCAUCUUGUCACCUUUCCCUUGGCCCUUCUUGUGAUUGGCUUUCAGGCCCACCCCAUCUGAGAAUGCCUCCUUGUUUUCAUGAAAGACAUAACACCCGACGAGCUCCACAAAGCCACCAGAAAAUGCUCACGGACUCUGAUGGUUUCAAGAGGCAGCCGCCACCCACGCUUCCUUUUCUUCCCAGGAAAAUGCAGGUGACCCCAGCAAAGAUCCCUGGCAUUGCCCAGUGGUUCUCAGAGAAGGCACUAUGACCUCUGACCCCAGACUACUGUCCACUCCAAGACACUUGGCCUUCUCCGUGCCCGCCCACCCAUUCUGCCCUGGCCAUGCUGCCCUCAGAGCACCAUCACCCUCUGCAGGCGCAGGCUCCCUGCAGUCCUGCCAAGGCUUCUCCACACCUUGCCAAGUUCCUGCACUCUCUCUCUGCCUUCGCGUUUCCGUGCCUUCUGGACUGCUUCUCCAGUGAGAGGCCCCUGAACAGGACCCUCAGUCUUUGGCAGGCAUUCCCUGGAUCUCUAGAAAGGGGGACACAGGAGAGGGUCUGCUGUGCCCAGUACACCACAUGCCAGAAGGGACUUCCAUUCUCCUCUAAUGGGCUGUACAUCCUUGGGCCCCUUCUGGCUUCAAGGACAUCUGGUUGACCAUGACCCAAAGAGGUCUGUGAUGGGCUUCCAUGACCACAGGGUGCAGUGCCAAUUGGAUUUCAAAUUUCUAAGAUAGGGCUGGGGCUAUCUCUCAGUUGCAUGCACAAGGCCCUGGGUUCAAUCCCCAGCACCAUAAAACAAACAAAAAACCCCAAAGAUGCUCCCCUCUGAGAACCUGAACCUGCGUGCACAAUCCUAGAACAAGAUGGUCACAGAGCCCCGCCCCCUUCUCCCAGGGGCCAAGAUGACCCGAGCAACUUCAGCUGGGGAUUCAUUAGCCUUUAAAAAUCUGCCAUGUCCCAGGACCUGAGCUCCACUCCUGCCCCCACCGCCCCCAGCUGUCUCUAUGUGUUCCCUUGGAACUGACCCACCACUGACAAUCUCAGCCCUGUGUCAUGUCACCACCCCCCCCAACAGUCUGCUCUUGAUCCAAGGCAAGGGGGUCCCAGGCUGAGGACAGCUCCCCUCUGUGCCCUCCCCGCCUCCCUCCUCUGUCCCACCACUGUUGACAGUCCUGAAGUUGGCUUUUCUUUUCCUGCAGGGCCAGUUUCUUACGCUUUUUUCUUCUCUCUCUUUGUCUCUGUCUCUGUCUCUCCUUCCCCCACCCUGCCCCUGCCUGUGGGGCCUCCUGGUCUCGCCCCGGCUGGUGGGCUGCCCACCGGGCAGGGAAGGCCGGAUGGUGGUGCUAUCCUUGGUCUUAGGGCUUUCGGAACAGGAUGACUUUGCCAAUAUCCCUGACCUGCAAAACCCAGGAACCCAGCAGAACCAGAACGCUCAG